CCCCACGGCACCUUAUCUCAUAUCCUGCUCAGUAAGUUCUUGCUGCUACCUUUGUCCACAGUCACCUCAGGAAGUGUACAGCUGGAAGCACCUCCUUCUAUGAACAUCUCUCCUUUGACAGAAAAAUGGACUUGGUCCAUCCCAGGCAUGCAAUAACGCAGACAACCACAUACUUCACGUGCUGUGAGCAAAUGCACAAUGGCCCCGUAGCCUGAGAAGUGUAAGUCUCAUAUAAGAAAUGCAUACACUCUCUGAUGCACAGCAGAUGGGCGCGCUGCAUUUCAUGGCUUCCAUGUCUGAUUAAAACCAGAAGGUGAAAAUGUAACUGAAGGGUAUUAGUAAAAGGAACUCCAUCUGGGUGAUGCAAUUCUGGGCCAGCUGCAACUGGGGAUAAAAAUUUGACUGAUUUCUACUUUUUCAGGUAACUGUACCUAGCUAACUGCUUUCUCUUGCAUACACAAGUUGCCUACUUUGGUAGGAAAGCCAUGCAGCAAAUCCAAAAAGAGCAAAUUGUAACUACCCAUGUAUUUUGUUCCUGUAACAGAAGCAGCAACUGUGCAUGGCAUAACUAUAUUUUGAUUUCAAGACACCCCAGGAUCUACAGUGGUUUGAAACUACACGUCCAAAAAAAUGAGCAUUUCACAGGGCUGUUCCUGUUGCAGUUCUUAAUUGCAUGGCUGAAUCACAGUUGCACCUGCUUCAUGGUAUUCGUAACAGGGACUGGUCAAAAGCAAAAAAAGGUUUCCUGUUCUCAGCAUGCAGUUGUGACAAGUGAUGGGGCAGUGGUUCUGACCUGUCUUUCUGUGCCUUUGCUCCUUCUGUCCCAGCCAGAAACUCAAGACUCACAAUGCAGUGAUGCCUUCAGUCAAAAGAGGCAGCAUCCAUCUUGAUGGCAUUGUCACAUGGACUCACAGGGAAAAGGCUAGGGUAGCCCUCAGCCACCAGCACACUGCUCCAGUCCAGGCAGCUUUGUUCCGGAAAAAGAUACAGACGAUCUCCGAGUACAACACAAGUAAGUGACAUGCAGUACCUUGUCACUGACUUUGAUGGACAGAUGAAUUGCCCUCUACCCCUUUGAAUGUAUGGCCAUGGAGUUACUAAACCCAGGCAAACCCAUGACAUUACAACGUAUUUCUAAAACAGUUAUUGCAGACUCAGCAUGCUGAGCAAUUGCAGGAAACAGCUAGACUCUUGGAAAUGCCUUCGAGGCCUGACAGGAACCUGAUGGGAGCAUGCAUCCUAUAGAUGGCUCCUGGGGCAUGGUAUACGGAUUACUCUCGAAGGUCAUUCAAAAUAACUGUACUUACAUUGUAAUUUACAGCACUGGAAUUUGCCCCCCUGACCAGCUGUGUUAGGCAUUUUGUAUAGCUGCUUCAUGUUUCACAGGUAGACGGGUGGUAGAUCUUCACUUUCUUAUUUCUCAGUUCUGUAGAACAAAUUGCAGUCCAAACAUACACCUUCCCAGUGUUGUGCCCGGAACACAAACAAUCCAUGUUUACACAUGCAUUUUUCUUUACAGAUGGACUAGGAGUGCCCACAAACAUCGUCUGAUGACAGCAGCUUGUUAGACGAUGGUGCCUUCAGCACAGCCUCCCUGCCACCUGGUGAGUGCUGCCACUGCUGACAGCUUUGAAGUAAAGGAGUGUAUCUCUUUCAGCUGCUGAAAACAUGCUGAUUUGUGCAUCUACCUCCGUGAAAGGCUUUGAGGCUGAGUUCUGACUAGGGGGCAGUGAUACUCGUCAGAGGCCCAGAGAGGGCAGGGGCACAGAUGUGUCCUAUUAACUGGUUUGUACUGCUCUCUUCUGGUCCCAUUGGCUGCAGUGAAUUCUGUCGCAGGCUCUCAUGCAGACCCAGGCAGCUCCUGCCUCUGGGCUAUGCCAUGUGAGCAGCAGCAGGAUUAUGCUGUGACCAGGACUGAUGUCUGAUCAAAGCCCCUUGGCUGCAGCAGAAAACAAACCAGGAGAGCUGCUGAGGCUGUACUAGUGUGUUCCCUGCUCACAGUGCAGCAGAAGGGUCCAGAGGGUGCCAAAGACCUCCAGCGUUCUGAGGUACACCUCGGAAAUAGACGUAAAUGGAAGAACUGCAUAUGCAACAGGUAUGGUAGGGAAGGCUAGCAGCACCUAAUAAAAAGUUCAGGUAUCCAACACGUGUAGCAGAUGCUGCUUGGGGAUUAAGCACUGCUGGUGCUCAAGUCGUUUUGUGAAGCCAAAGAAAGGCUGGUGUGCCUGAAAGCCAGCCUGUUCUGUCGUUGUUGUUUGUUUUACAGUUGCAUCAGCUGUGCUAAUAAAACCUCUUGCCUUCCCCUACAGACUUUGCUUAUAUCCAUAGACCUUCACCGUAACAACGUUAUUACUUGAAAAAUGGCCUCUGCCCAAACUGUUCCCUGAUUAGU
Cygnus atratus (black swan) is the source of this 2392-nucleotide long non-coding RNA. RefSeq lists it as uncharacterized. The record is from RefSeq and is a predicted model, not a curated record. NCBI's taxonomy places the organism in Eukaryota, Metazoa, Chordata, Aves, Anseriformes, Anatidae. The transcript is spliced from 4 exons.